Molecule: ribosomal RNA, 498 nt
Filed under: uncultured bacterium
Lineage: Bacteria
Description: partial 16S ribosomal RNA
Rfam family: Bacterial small subunit ribosomal RNA
Source: RNAcentral
GACGAACGCUGGCGGCGUGCCUAAUACAUGCAAGUCGAGCGGACGGAUGGGAGCUUGCUCCCAGACCGUCAGCGGCGGACGGGUGAGUAACACGUGGGCAACCUGCCUGUAAGACUGGGAUAACUCCGGGAAACCGGGUCUAAUACCGGAUAACUCUUUCCCUCACAUGAGGGAAAGCUGAAAGAUGGCAUCUCGCUAUCACUUACAGAUGGGCCCGCGGCGCAUUAGCUAGUUGGUGAGGUAACGGCUCACCAAGGCGACGAUGCGUAGCCGACCUGAGAGGGUGAUCGGCCACACUGGGACUGAGACACGGCCCAGACUCCUACGGGAGGCAGCAGUAGGGAAUCUUCCGCAAUGGACGAAAGUCUGACGGAGCAACGCCGCGUGAGUGAUGAAGGUUUUCGGAUCGUAAAACUCUGUUGUCAGGGAAGAACAAGUACCGGAGUAACUGCCGGUACCUUGACGGUACCUGACCAGAAAGCCACGGCUAACUACGUG